AUUUGCUUCAAAAUUCAGUCUUGCACCAGAGAAGUACAGAAAUGCCUCACAACGCCUUCAGUGAACCUACAAUAAAAGGACUCAACUCCACCAUGCCUAGACUCACCUCCUAACAUGGAGAGAUGACUUGUAACCCACAGAGUCUGAAAAGAGGACCCCCAUGCUCACGCAGACUUGGAGGAGCUAGAAGAUGGAGAAACAACACGGACCAGGAGAAAGAGGGCUUCGCCCCCGGUACACACUGCCAUCUAGUGACUACAUUCAGGGGUGUGAUUGCCUUUUUGCAGAGGUGGAAUUGGCUACUGGCAGCAGAAUUCCUCUGGCUGAACCCCUGGCGCCCUUGCCUUUGGACUCUGCUCUCCUCUACAUCCAACAAUCUAGUUUAAGGAGCAGAAUAUACUUGGAUGAUUAACAAAUGGGAUAGCAGAAUGGAAAGUAUUAAAUUCUGUCCCAGAAGAAACCACUUUGUUUUUGUGUUUGUGAAAUGUUAUGAAACUCAUGCACUUAAAAUGUAAUAUAAAUAUUCAAGAAAAUAUGCUUCUAGUUUUAGAGAGAGUAAAGUCAAAGGCAGGAACAAGACUUAAUUUAGUUUCAUUUUAAUAACAGCAGUAAAUACUUGAUCUGAGAGUGGUAAAGAUCUCUUACUGUCCCUAUUCAACCUUUUCCUCUUCCCUCAAAGCAACCAGUUAAGGGUCAGUCUUCCAACAUAAUUGCUAGCAAUUUUAUUCAGACAAUGAAACAUCUUUCUACUGAGUGCCAGCACUAUUUACUUCAUUACUGUCUAGUGACAGCACACAUGCUGAACAGGACAGAAAACUUAGAUUCAACAUCUCGCUCCACUGUGGGUUGUGUGAUCUUUAUCUUAUUAGCAGUUUUUGCAUUUUUGCUUUAUCUCAUUGCAGGUUUGUACACUGGGAAAAACAAUAAUAUUUGCUGUGCCCAUCUCACAGUGUUAUUGUGAGCACAAGGGAGAAAACAUGGGUGAAUCCACAUUAUAAAAUUUAAUGUGAUAUGCUUCUGUUUCUUGGACAAAAUUUACAGACAUCUGCUGAUACAUUUUUUAAAGAUAAAGAGAAUCCAGCUGAAUUAGAUUCCAAUAUAUUUCUUGGAAUUAGUCACUUUGCAUUGGUAUAAAAAAGGCAAUUUCCCCAAUUCUGAAUAAAUUUUUAGAUGACCACCCUACAACAUUCCAGUUGUGAGGCAGUAAUUCCCAAUUAGUCAUAGUUAAAGGAAUACAAAAGUUUUUUGAAAUAGAAAAUUUCUAAAAAUCACUCUCUAGUCAUCGUGGAUAAUACAGAGUUGGGAAAGUAUUUGUGAUACAUCCUGUGUUCUCCCAGCUUAAAGAUGAGCAAGUUGGCCUUAUUUGUAAACUAUGAAGAGAAGAAGAAGCAUUGCCCCUUCCAGAGCAAAAGAGGUUGACUCUGAAGCACACAGGCGUCAGUCAGUAUAUUAGCUGGAUAUUGAUUCUCCCAAGGCUGACAUGAGGAGCCAGAAGAGAGGAGCGAUUUGAGGCUCAGGGAGCGGCCUGGCCGCCAAAGAAGAGGGAAGACACUGUAUUUUCCCAGUUGUGACUAGGGAGAAGAUUCAGCAUCCACAAAUUAAAGAGAGAAGUAAGGAAGGGGAGGACAGUGGUGUAAAGAGAAAGAGAGGGAAUCGCUGGGCGUGGUGGCGCACGCCUGUAAACCCAGCACUCGGGAGGCUGAGGCAGGAGGAUCUCUUUGAGUUCAAGACCAGCCUGCUGGGUUACAUAGUGAGUUCCAGGUCAGUCUCAACUACUUAGUGAGACCCUGUCUCAAAAAACAAAAUACAGGAAAAAAAAAAAAAAAGGAGGACGAGAAGGAAUAUCCGUGGGCAAUUACUUGGAAAAUAUUUUAGGUUUUGCAUCUUUAAAAACAUGUCCUAAGUGUCCAUCGACUGACAAAUAGAUAAAGAAAACAUGGAGUAUAUACAUAAUGAAACACUAGCCUUAAAAAGGGAGGAAAUCCUGGCAUUUCUAGCAGUGUGGAUGGACCUGGAGGACAUUAUGUUAAAUAAAAUAAGCCAGGCACAGAAGAAAAAGUGCUUCGUGAUUUCAACAAUAUGUGAAACCUAACAAAGUUGAAUUUAGGACAUGGAGAAUAGAAUAGUAGAAGCUGGGGGUUAGGAAGAAUAGAAAGAUGUUGGCCAAAAGGUACAAAGUUUCAAUUAGAAAGAACAAGUUUUGAGGAUCUGUCAUGCAGCAUGAUAAUUGCAGUUAAUAACAGUACGUUGUUAACAACAAUAUGUUGUAUAUGUGAAAACUACUGAGAGUAGAUUUCACAUGUUCUCACCCCAAAAAUGAUAUGUAUAGGAGCUGAUGUUCAUGUUACUUAACUUGACUUAGCCAUUCCACAAUGUACGCAUACUUAAAAACAUCACACUGUACAUGAUGGAUAUAUACAUUUAUCAAUUACAGAAAUUAAUUAUACUAAAAAAGACUAUUUAGUCUGGGAAACAGCCACCGUGAGUUCAAAGCAAGAUGCAUGUGAUAUAAAACAGAACUUGAAAGCCUCACCUUGUUCAGACAGUGGGAAGGAUAAAUUUUCAAGAAGCUUUAAUGUCUUUGCUGGAUGAACAAUUUGCGGAGGUGGAAUUUCAGAGGAAGCAAGAAGAUUAGUUUUGUACUUGACUCAGGGUAUUAAAGGUGCUCUAAAGAGAUUCAAUCAAAACCCCAUUGCAGUCCUUUCAUGCUUUUAUUAAUGUAGCAGACAUUUUUUUCUUUUUGCUCUUCAAGUUUUUCAGUGAAACUUCUCUUUGUGAAUAUUAUUAAACUUCUUGGGAUGAAGGACUUUUAAAAUACGUUGUUUGUAAAGUCCCAUUAUUCAGUUCUCUGCAGAAAGCCUUCUGCGGAGCUACCCACAGCCCUGCUUAGGACAUGGGGGCUUACGAACCACCAAGGAACUCUGACACAACUCUGGCAGGGCAACUUUGCCAAAGGGAGAGAGUUGUUUGCAGCUGUUUGUCCACCUUUACCACAGCAUCCUCUCAUCUUGCUCCUUGGUGAUGAAUAUUUUAGAGACAGGGCAUGGUGUUAGCGCCCCAAGAGAACUUUGACUCAGCCUUUCUGUUGUGCUUUCCAGAGUUCAUCUGAAGCCCUGGUCUCCCUUUGCUCUGGCUCCUCUGGGUUCCCCAGGCUCCUCCCAGCUCUCUCUGCACACUUCUGCCACGGUCCUUUUCUCACUUCUGCUGUUCACCUCAAAUGCAUCCUUAUCGCCCCUUUUGCCACAAGCUGGAACCGAAGUCUUCAGUGAUUUCUGUUUUGUUUUGUUUUGUUUUCCAGCUCUGCAUAGGCAAUAGAACAUUGCCACAUACUAUCAGCUCUAAGGUCAAGAGGAGG
RNAcentral lists this long non-coding RNA (3355 nucleotides) under Fukomys damarensis (Damara mole-rat). RNAcentral's name for it is "lncRNA (ENSFDAG00000022651.1)". Lineage: Eukaryota; Metazoa; Chordata; Mammalia; Rodentia; Bathyergidae. The record is from RNAcentral.